UAAGGAAUAUUGGUCAAUGGACGCAAGUCUGAACCAGCCAUGCCGCGUGAAGGAUGAAGGUCCUCUGGAUUGUAAACUUCUUUUAUCUGGGACGAAAACGGGAUUUUUAUCUCAAUUGACGGUACCAGAGGAAUAAGCACCGGCUAACUCCGUGCCAGCAGCCGCGGUAAUACGGAGGGUGCGAGCGUUAUCCGGAUUUACUGGGUUUAAAGGGUGCGUAGGUGGGCUUAUAAGUCAGUGGUGAAAUCUGCGAGCUUAACCUGGGAAUUGCAUUUGAAACUGAUUGGCUAGAGUACGGGAGAGGGAAGUGGAAUUUCCGGUGUAGCGGUGAAAUGCGUAGAUAUCGGAAGGAACACCAGUGGCGAAGGCGACUUCCUGGCCCGUUACUGACACUGAGGCGCGAAAGCGUGGGGAGCG
RNAcentral lists this ribosomal RNA (417 nucleotides) under uncultured bacterium. Its description in RNAcentral is "bacterial SSU rRNA". It matches the Rfam family "Bacterial small subunit ribosomal RNA", at positions 355 to 770 of the family's 1533-position model. The record is from RNAcentral.